CAUAGUGUAUUUUAUAUGAGAACUGUUGCUGAAAUCACAAAGUUACUUUAACUACCCCAGUGGUGGUGAGUUUCCGCUGGGUGUGAAAAUUAACUACGUUUUUAAAGUGAUGAAACUUCUGAGCUUAUGAUGACUUCUCUUUCAAAAGUAUAUCCUCCAAAUUCUGAGGCUUAUGUAGCCUUACUUCCUCAGUCUUUUAAUCAUCUUUCUGUCCCACAAUUCUCUUAUUUACUCUUUUUCUACUGUAGAAACAGCAGGUCCAUAUUUCUGACUGUGCAGGAAUUGGAGGCCCACACCAAGCAGUGUGACAUACUUGAAUGACAAAAUAAUGGAGUGAUCCCAGGGACUCAGGAGUCAUGGCAGAGGAAUUUAUUGCUUAGCAACCCAGACAAAUGUCAAGAGUCUUACCAAAUGCAGAUGAUGCUCUGUGGAAGAGACCUGCUUCAAGUCAGGUCAAGUAAAAACAACCUUGCCAGCAAGAUCCAUCAGUGAGGUCACUGAGAGAAGAGGAAACAUACACAAAGCUGCAUGAAAAAGAUAAUUCACCUUAUCAGUGCAACAGAAGUUUCAUAACAACGUAACUCCAGCAGGACACCUCCAUAUGAAUGGCUUUCCAUAGCACCAUACUGGGCAGAUUGCCAGCAAGUUCUACCAGCUUAGCACCACAGUGACUUCUCUGUCAUCUGGUGAGCCUAUGAUCGCCAAUAAAGGUCUGGAUCUCAGCCUGGGCUCUCUUCCUUGGAUCUAUGCUGAACCUAACUGGAAACUGGGUGGCAAGAGUUGAUACAGUCCACACAGGUCGGCCUCCUGGGCAGAGAUCAGAGUAGGACAGGAUGAAGAACACAUCUGGAGGGUCAAAGAGAAGCUAUGACACAGGAUCCUUAUUAAUCAAAGUGUGAUCCAUUGACCACCAUCAUCAGCAUCUGCUGGAGCCUAUUAGGAAUGCAGAAUACCAGGCCCCAUCACAGACCAGUUACUGAAUUGGAAUCUGCAUUGUAACAAACUUCUCAGAGCUCUCUCUCAGGACUAUUCUGGCUUCUCAGGAUCCAUUGCCCUUGCCCAGGAGAGAGAGCCUCGCUGGGACCCAGAAACCGCGAAAGAAGAUUCGACCUACCUGUGGAACCAGACACAACUUGGUCCCCAAAGGUCGCUUA
Molecule: long non-coding RNA, 1154 nt
Filed under: Homo sapiens (human)
Lineage: Eukaryota; Metazoa; Chordata; Mammalia; Primates; Hominidae
Description: HSALNT0335205
Source: RNAcentral